CCUACGGGUGGCAGCAGUGGGGAAUAUUGCGCAAUGGGCGAAAGCCUGACGCAGCGACGCCGCGUGAGGGAUGAAGGUCUUCGGAUCGUAAACCUCUGUCAGCAGGGAAGAACGGUCACUGUGCUAAUCAGCAGUGCAUUGACGGUACCUGCAAAGGAAGCACCGGCUAACUCCGUGCCAGCAGCCGCGGUAAUACGGAGGGUGCAAGCGUUAAUCGGAAUUACUGGGCGUAAAGCGCUCGUAGGCGGUAUGUCAAGCCAAGGGUGAAAUCCCAGCGCUGAACGUGGGAACUGCCUUUGAAACUGGCAAACUGGAGGGUGGGAGAGGAUAGUGGAAUUCCAGGUGGAGGAGUGAAAUCCGUAGAUAUUUGGAGGAACAGCAGUGGCGAAGGCGACUAUCUGGCACAUAACUGACGCUGAGGAGCGAAAGCGUGGGUAGCAAACAGGAUUAGAUACCCUGGUAGUC
Molecule: ribosomal RNA, 465 nt
Filed under: uncultured bacterium
Lineage: Bacteria
Description: partial 16S ribosomal RNA
Rfam family: Bacterial small subunit ribosomal RNA
Source: RNAcentral